Molecule: ribosomal RNA, 775 nt
Filed under: uncultured Neocallimastigales
Lineage: Eukaryota; Fungi; Neocallimastigomycota; Neocallimastigomycetes; Neocallimastigales
Description: partial large subunit ribosomal RNA
Rfam family: Eukaryotic large subunit ribosomal RNA
Source: RNAcentral
CGCAUCUGUGCAUGCAGCAUAUCAAUAAGCGGAGGAAAAGAAACUAACAAGGAUUCCCCUAGUAACGGCGAGUGAAGCGGGAAGAGCUCAAAUUUGAAAUCUUAAAGGGUUUCCCUUUACGAAUUGUAGUUUAAAGAAGUGUUUUCUGUUGAGGUUUUGGUAAAAGUUCUUUGGAAUAGGACAUCAUAGAGGGUGAGAAUCCCGUAUUUGACCUUUACUUUCAACUUUGUGAUACACUUUCAAAGAGUCGGAUUGUUUGGGAAUGCAGUCCAAAAUGGGUGGUAAAUUUCAUCUAAAGCUAAAUAUUGGCGAGAGACCGAUAGCGAACAAGUACCGUGAGGGAAAGAUGAAAAGAACUUUGAAAAGAGAGUUAAACAGUACGUGAAAUUGUCAAAAGGGAAGCGUUUGACACCAGUGUUGUUUUUCUGAAAAUCAAUUAAGAACUGGUUGAUGCUAGUUGUAUUAGACCUUAUCAGCUAUCUGCUUAUUUUUCGAGUCUUUCUUAAUGCACUUUUCAGGUUAACAAGUCAACAUCAAUUUCUUUUGCUGUAAAAAAGCUUGAGGAAGGUGGCUUGAGAUUCGUCUUAAGUGUUUAUAGCCUCUUGCCUAUGCAGUCGGAGAGAUUGAGGUCUGCAGCGUAGAUCCUUCGGGGCUAAAUGCAUUUGUGCUAAGUUAUAACAUUUUAUAGACAACUUGUUGACUAUGAUUUGUCUUGUAGCUUACUCGCUUAUGUUAUUUUACCUACGCUUAGGAUGUUGAGCGCAUGUCUCUCUCU